Long non-coding RNA from Salarias fasciatus (jewelled blenny), 845 nucleotides. RefSeq lists it as uncharacterized. NCBI's taxonomy places the organism in Eukaryota, Metazoa, Chordata, Actinopteri, Blenniiformes, Blenniidae. The record is from RefSeq and is a predicted model, not a curated record. The transcript is spliced from 3 exons.
UGUGAGCAUCCAAAACCAACAAUGAAAAAAAUCUUAAAUUUCACAGGAUUCUGACCUCAACCUCAUCAUUCUUCACAUAGAUCUUUGUUCCAGAACCACUUGGGAGCGUUUUGUGUGUGUAACCCAGGUUAAAAAUCAUGGAAACAGUUAUUUUCCAUCCGUCCUGAGUGCACCUGAAUGCACCUUUACGCUGCGUGUUGACUACCUCGCACAACUCCGGUCACGUGACAGAGCGAGCCAAUCGCGUCUCAGAGUGACCUGCUUUUCAUGCUUCGGCUGCUUUCCCCACUCAGACGUGUGGGGGGAAGCCAGCCGACAGCUGCGAGCAGAAGUCACUGCCGGGCCUGCAGGGAGUCCCUAGCUGCCAUCAUGUGCCGUUAAUGUGAGGAACUGGCCGGGUUUCCAUCCUGGACUGGAGUGGAGCUGAUGGCAGCCAAGAAACCAUAGCUUGGACUCAGCUACAACCAACAGGCCUUUGUCCUACUGGUCUGGUAGGAAGGCUCGCAGCCUGUCCUCCCCUCCAUACACCUCACGACACUGAUUGCCCAACCUGCUCGCACUCCCCUUUCCCAUGGAUAAUACAACUGGACAUUUUCAAUUGAACUUUCACUAAACCCUCCUGGGUUGUUGGCAUCGGUUUUUGACUGUGUAUGUAAUCACCAGGGGUUAAUUUAUUUACCCGGACGGCUUAUUUUGAGGGCUUUGUGUUGUUGUCAAUGAACAACCCUGAACAGUGAUCAAGCGCUUUAUUCAAACUUCAACCGGUCAACUGCUGCAGUAUUGUAAAUAUUUUCUUUUUGUUAAUUAUUUUGUGUUUUUGGGAUAUUUCUUUUGUAUAAUUUGUU